Molecule: transfer RNA, 73 nt
Filed under: Xenopus laevis (African clawed frog)
Lineage: Eukaryota; Metazoa; Chordata; Amphibia; Anura; Pipidae
Rfam family: tRNA
About the family: Transfer RNA (tRNA) molecules are approximately 80 nucleotides in length.
Source: Rfam by way of RNAcentral
GGUUUUAUAGUGUAGUGAUGAUCAUGUCUGCUUCACGGAGAAAAGUUCCUGGGUUCAAUCCCCAGUGAAACCA